RNAcentral lists this ribosomal RNA (500 nucleotides) under uncultured bacterium. Its description in RNAcentral is "partial 16S ribosomal RNA". It matches the Rfam family "Bacterial small subunit ribosomal RNA", at positions 30 to 523 of the family's 1533-position model. The record is from RNAcentral.
AUUGAACGCUGGCGGAAUGCUUUACACAUGCAAGUCGAACGGCAGCACGGACUUCGGUCUGGUGGCGAGUGGCGAACGGGUGAGUAACAUAUCGGAACGUAUCCAAUAAUGGGGGAUAACGAGUCGAAAGAUUCGCUAAUACCGCGUACGCCCUCCGGGGGAAAGCUGGGGACCUUCGGGCCUGGCGUUAAUGGAGCGGCCGAUAUCGGAGUAGCUAAUUGGUGAGGUAAAGGCUCACCAAGGCGACGAUCAGUAGCUGGUCUGAGAGGACGACCAGCCACACUGGAACUGAGACACGGUCCAGACUCCUACGGGAGGCAGCAGUGGGGAAUUUUGGACAAUGGGCGCAAGCCUGAUCCAGCCAUUCCGCGUGAGUGAAGAAGGCCUUCGGGUUGUAAAGCUCUUUCGCAAGGGAAGAAAACUUAGCCACUAACAUUGGUUGAGGUUGACGGUACCUUGAUAAGAAGCACCGGCUAACUACGUGCCAGCCGCCGCUGUAA